This 301-nucleotide ribosomal RNA is filed under the name uncultured bacterium. Its description in RNAcentral is "partial 16S ribosomal RNA". It matches the Rfam family "Bacterial small subunit ribosomal RNA", at positions 509 to 807 of the family's 1533-position model. The record is from RNAcentral.
CAGCAGCCGCGGUAAUACGGAGGGGGCUAGUGUUGUUCGGAAUUACUGGGCGUAAAGCGUACGUAGGCGGCUUUGUAAGUUAGAGGUGAAAGCCUGGUGCUCAACACCAGAACUGCCUUUAAGACUGCAUCACUUGAACGUCGGAGAGGUGAGUGGAAUUCCGAGUGUAGAGGUGAAAUUCGUAGAUACUCGGAAGAACACCAGUGGCGAAGGCGGCUCACUGGACGACUGUUGACGCUGAGGUACGAAAGCGUGGGGAGCAAACAGGAUUAGAUACCCCUGUAGUCCCUGUCUCUUAUAC